CCGAUGGCGAAGGCAGAUCUCUGGGCCGUAACUGACGCUGAGGAGCGAAAGCAUGGGGAGCGAACAGGAUUAGAUACCCUGGUAGUCCAUGCCGUAAACGUUGGGAACUAGAUGUGGGGACCAUUCCACGGUCUCCGUGUCGCAGCUAACGCAUUAAGUUCCCCGCCUGGGGAGUACGGCCGCAAGGCUAAAACUCAAAGGAAUUGACGGGGGCCCGCACAAGCGGCGGAGCAUGCGGAUUAAUUCGAUGCAACGCGAAGAACCUUACCAAGGCUUGACAUAUACCGGAAACAUGCAGAGAUGUGUGCCCCGCAAGGUCGGUAUACAGGUGGUGCAUGGUUGUCGUCAGCUCGUGUCGUGAGAUGUUGGGUUAAGUCCCGCAACGAGCGCAACCCUCGUUCUAUGUUGCCAGCACGUAAUGGUGGGAACUCAUAGGAGACUGCCGGGGUCAACUCGGAGGAAGGUGGGGAUGACGUCAAAUCAUCAUGCCCCUUAUGUCUUGGGCUUCACGCAUGCUACAAUGGCCGGUACAAAGGGCUGCGAUACCGUAAGGUGGAGCGAAUCCCAAAAAGCCGGUCUCAGUUCGGAUUGAGGUCUGCAACUCGACCUCAUGAAGUCGGAGUCGCUAGUAAUCGCAGAUCAGCAACGCUGCGGUGAAUACGUUCCCGGGCCUUGUACACACCGCCCGUCAAGUCAUGAAAGUCGGUAACACCCGAAGCCAGUGGCCUAACC
This 732-nucleotide ribosomal RNA is filed under the name Lysinimonas sp. RNAcentral's name for it is "bacterial SSU rRNA". It matches the Rfam family "Bacterial small subunit ribosomal RNA", at positions 709 to 1440 of the family's 1533-position model. The record is from RNAcentral. Lineage: Bacteria; Bacillati; Actinomycetota; Actinomycetes; Micrococcales; Microbacteriaceae.